GAUGAACGCUGGCGGCGUGCCUAAUACAUGCAAGUCGAGCGAACAGACGAGGAGCUUGCUCCUCUGACGUUAGCGGCGGACGGGUGAGUAACACGUGGAUAACCUACCUAUAAGACUGGGAUAACUUCGGGAAACCGGAGCUAAUACCGGAUAAUAUAUUGAACCGCAUGGUUCAAUAGUGAAAGACGGUUUUGCUGUCACUUAUCGAUGGAUCCGCGCCGCAUUAGCUAGUUGGUAAGGUAACGGCUUACCAAGGCAACGAUGCGUAGCCGACCUGAGAGGGUGAUCGGCCACACUGGAACUGAGACACGGUCCAGACUCCUACGGGAGGCAGCAGUAGGGAAUCUUCCGCAAUGGGCGAAAGCCUGACGGAGCAACGCCGCGUGGGUGAUGAAGGUCUUCGGAUCGUAAAACUCUGUUAUUAGGGAAGAACAAAUGUGUAAGUAACUAUGCACGUCUUGACGGUACCUAAUCAGAAAGCCACGGCUAACUACGUG
This 497-nucleotide ribosomal RNA is filed under the name uncultured bacterium. RNAcentral's name for it is "partial 16S ribosomal RNA". It matches the Rfam family "Bacterial small subunit ribosomal RNA", at positions 28 to 507 of the family's 1533-position model. The record is from RNAcentral.